This 1433-nucleotide ribosomal RNA is filed under the name uncultured marine bacterium. Its description in RNAcentral is "bacterial SSU rRNA". It matches the Rfam family "Bacterial small subunit ribosomal RNA". The record is from RNAcentral.
GAGUUUGAUCAUGGCUCAGAACGUACGCUGGCGGCACGCCUAACACAUGCAAGUCGAACGAAGUAGCAAUACUUAGUGGCAGACGGGUGAGUAACAUGUAGGUAUCUGCCCUUUGGCCUGGAAUAACACGAGGAAACUUGUGCUAAUACCGGAUAAGUCUUUACGGAGAAAGCUUUAUGCACCAUUGGAUGAGCCUGCACUUGAUUAGUUUGUUGGUGGGGUAAUGGCCUACCAAGACUGUGAUCAAUAGCUGAUUUGAGAGGAUGAUCAGCCACAUUGGGACUGAGACACGGCCCAAACUCCUACGGGAGGCAGCAGUGGGGAAUCUUGCACAAUGGAGGAAACUCUGAUGCAGCGAUGCCGCGUGAGUGAAGAAGGCCCUUGGGUUGUAAAGCUCUUUCGUCGGGGAAGAAAAUGACUGUACCCGAAUAAGAAGGUCCGGCUAACUUCGUGCCAGCAGCCGCGGUAAUACGAAGGGACCUAGCGUAGUCCGGAAUUACUGGGCUUAAAGAGUUCGUAGGUGGUUGAAAGAGUUAGUGGUGAAAUCCCAGAGCUUAACUCUGGAACUGCCAUUAAAACUUUUCAGCUAGAGUAUGAUAGAGGAAAGCAGAAUUUCUAGUGUAGAGAUGAAAUUCGUAGAUAUUAGAAAGAAUACCAAUUGCGAAGGCAGCUUUCUGGAUCAUUACUGACACUGAGGAACGAAAGCAUGGGUAGCGAAGAGGAUUAGAUACCCUCGUAGUCCAUGCCGUAAACGAUGUGUGUUAGACGUUGGAAAUUUAUUUUCAGUGUCGCAGGGAAACCGAUAAACACACCGCCUGGGGAGUACGACCGCAAGGUUAAAACUCAAAUGAAUUGACGGGGACCCGCACAAGUAGUGGAGCAUGUGGUUUAAUUCGAAGAUACGCGCAGAACCUUACCAACACUUGACAUGUUCGUCGCGACUCUAAGAGAUUAGAGUUUUCGGUUCGGCCGGACGAAACACAGGUGCUGCAUGGCUGUCGUCAGCUCGUGUCGUGAGAUGUUGGGUUAAGUCCCGCAACGAGCGCAACCCUCACUUUUAGUUGCCAUCAUUAAGUUGGGCACUCUGAAAGAACUGCCAGUGAUAAGCUGGAGGAAGGUGGGGAUGACGUCAAGUCCUCAUGGCCCUUACGUGUUGGGCUACACACGUGCUACAAUGGUAUCUACAACAGGAAGCAAGACUGCGAAGUUAAGCAAAUCCCUAAAAGAUACCUCAGUUCGGAUUGCACUCUGCAACUCGAGUGCAUGAAGCUGGAAUUACUAGUAAUCGUGGAUCAGCGUGCCACGGUGAAUGCGUUCCCGGGUCUUGUACACACCGCCCGUCACACCAUGGGAGUUGGUUCUACCUUAAGGCAAGGUUUCAAACCCUUGACCACGGUAUAGUCAGCGACUGGGGUGAAGUUGUUCUGGUAACC